Molecule: ribosomal RNA, 460 nt
Filed under: uncultured bacterium
Lineage: Bacteria
Description: partial 16S ribosomal RNA
Rfam family: Bacterial small subunit ribosomal RNA
Source: RNAcentral
CCUACGGGUGGCUGCAGUGAGGAAUAUUGGUCAAUGGGCGCGAGCCUGAACCAGCCAAGUAGCGUGAAGGAUGACUGCCCUACGGGUUUUAAACUUCUUUUAUAAAGGAAUAAGGUGAGGCACGUGAGCCUUUUUGUAUGUACUUUAUGAAUAAGGAUAGGCUAACUCCGUGCCAGCAGCCGCGGUAAUACGGAGGGUCCGAGCGUUAUCCGGAUUUAUUGGGUUUAAAGGGAGCGUAGAUGGGUUGUUAAGUCAGUUGUGAAAGUCUGCGGCUCAACCGUAAAAUUGCAAUUGAUACUGGCAGUCUUGAGUACAGUUGAGGUAAGCGGAAUUCGUGGUGUAGCGGUGAAAUGCUUAGAUAUCACGAAGAACACCGAUUGCGAAGGCAGCUUACUAAACUGCCACUGACACUGAGGCUCGAAAGUGUGGGUAUCAAACAGGAUUAGAUACCCUGGUAGUC